RNAcentral lists this ribosomal RNA (157 nucleotides) under Bombyx mori (domestic silkworm). Its description in RNAcentral is "partial 18S ribosomal RNA". It matches the Rfam family "Eukaryotic small subunit ribosomal RNA", at positions 1 to 160 of the family's 1831-position model. Lineage: Eukaryota; Metazoa; Arthropoda; Insecta; Lepidoptera; Bombycidae. The record is from RNAcentral.
UCCCUNGUUGACCCUGCCAGUAGUUAUAUGCUUGUCUCAAAGAUUAAGCCAUGCAUGUCUCAGUGCAAGCCGUAUUAAGCGUACCGCGAAUGGCUCAAUAUAUCAGUUUUGGUUCCUUAGAUCUUACUCAGUUACUUGGAUAACUGUGGUAAUUCUA